This 467-nucleotide ribosomal RNA is filed under the name uncultured bacterium. RNAcentral's name for it is "partial 16S ribosomal RNA". It matches the Rfam family "Bacterial small subunit ribosomal RNA", at positions 28 to 506 of the family's 1533-position model. The record is from RNAcentral.
GACGAACGCUGGCGGCGUGCUUAACACAUGCAAGUCGAACGGAAAGGCCCUGCUUUUGUGGGGUGCUCGAGUGGCGAACGGGUGAGUAACACGUGAGUAACCUGCCCUUGACUUUGAGAUAACUUCAGGAAACUGGGGCUAAUACCGGAUAGGAGCUCCUGCUGCAUGGUGGGGGUUGGAAAGUUUCGGCGGUUGGGGAUGGACUCGCGGCUUAUCGGCUUGUUGGUGGGGUAGUGGCUUACCAAGGCUUUGACGGGUAGCCGGCCUGAGAGGGUGACCGGCCACAUUGGGACUGAGAUACGGCCCAGACUCCUACGGGAGGCAGCAGUGGGGAAUAUUGCACAAUGGGCGGAAGCCUGAUGCAGCAACGCCGCGUGCGGGAUGACGGCCUUCGGGUUGUAAACCGCUUUCGCCUGUGACGAAGCGUGAGUGACGGUAAUGGGGAAAGAAGCACCGGCUAACUACGU